AUGAACGCUGGCGGCGUGCCUAAUACAUGCAAGUCGUGCGAACAGACGAGGAGCUUGCUCCUCUGACGUUAGCGGCGGACGGGUGAGUAACACGUGGAUAACCUACCUAUAAGACUGGGAUAACUUCGGGAAACCGGAGCUAAUACCGGAUAAUAUAUUGAACCGCGUGGUUCAAUAGUGAAAGACGGUUUUGCUGUCACUUAUAGAUGGAUCCGCGCCGCAUUAGCUAGUUGGUAAGGUAACGGCGUACCAAGGCAACGAUGCGGAGCCGACCUGGGAGGAUGAGCGGACACACUAGAGCUGAGAAACGUGCCACACUACUACGAGAGGCAGCAUGAGGGGAUGCACCGCAAUGGUCAAAAACCGGACGGUGGCACGCCGCCUGAGUCAUGAAGGUAUUCGGCUCGAAAAACUCUGUUAUCAGGGAAGAAGAAAUGUGUAUGUAACUAUGCACGUCUUGACGGUACCUAAUCAGAAAGCCACGGCUAAAUCCGUG
This 496-nucleotide ribosomal RNA is filed under the name uncultured bacterium. RNAcentral describes it as "partial 16S ribosomal RNA". It matches the Rfam family "Bacterial small subunit ribosomal RNA", at positions 29 to 507 of the family's 1533-position model. The record is from RNAcentral.